Long non-coding RNA from Betta splendens (Siamese fighting fish), 5830 nucleotides. RefSeq lists it as uncharacterized. Lineage: Eukaryota; Metazoa; Chordata; Actinopteri; Anabantiformes; Osphronemidae. The record is from RefSeq and is a predicted model, not a curated record. The transcript is spliced from 2 exons.
CACCUGUAAAUGACAGUCCUCAUCUUUGAGUAACAUGAAAGAGUAACGGGACCCUAAAGGACCACAACUUUAAUCCACAUUUACACACAAGCAUGACGACAUCAUUUUUUUUCAGGCUAAAAAAAAAUAGAAUCAAAAUACGGGAAGAGGUGAGAGACACAACAUUAACCGAGAAUAAACUUUUAAAAAAAAAAUUAAAAAUGUCUUCUGUGUUUUAUCGUUCUAUAGCUUAAGACAAGACAUUGGGUGAGAGGGGGGGAAAAAAAGACCUUGACCAUACUUACAAGGCCACAUUUCCGUGGAGAGGUUGUUUAUUUCUCUCUCUCAUCUACAACACAGUGACACUGUUGCUGUUAAAGACAGCCUCCCCGAGCGCCCUCCCCCCAACAGCAGAAGAACAUUCAAAGCAAGGUAUACAACCAUCUCUGCUUUCCUCCAAAGUGGCUGCUGCACCUUUACACAACUAGGACAGUGAGUGACAAACCCAUUACAAUGUCAAAGAAUUUAAAUGUUAGAAUCUAGAAAUGUUUAUUUUUCGACAGACAUUUUUAUUUUACUACUUCUUUCGGGCCAAGGGAGUUUUGAAUGUAUAACCGCUUUAAAGCCUGUAACUCCUAGUGUGACUAUGGUCAGUUUAGUAGGACUGUACAGAUUUGAGGAACCACAGCUAGACCCACUUUUCUUGAAACUGUCAAAAGGCAAGAGAAACUAAAUAAGCAGUCAGGAACAGGAGCGAUACGAACACAUUCUGUAGCUAGCAGAAGUCAUUUUUAAGAUAUGAUUAUGUGUUAAAAAGCAAAUUAUUAUACAUAUUAAAUGUGUCAGAAAAAAAUCAUCCAACAGUUUAGCAAUAGUCAUUUCAUUCAAAUUUCAUUUAAAUAGUAAUAUUUCCUACACUGAUUUGUGGUCCCCUCGCUUCUUGUUAUCUGGCUGUGUAACUUCAGGUAACCUGGAUUGAAUUAAAAGCUGCCAAAAUACUGAAUCAUGCAGAUGAAGACAAGACCGACACCCACCUUCACAGUGUCAAAGGGAUGCCCCACUAAAACACCAGCAGCACCUGAAGAACAACACACCAAGCAGAUUUAGGUCAGCGGCAUCUCAUCUUUGAACGUAAUGAGCUUCCCGUAUCUGCAAUACUGUCCAUGACCCGACAACCGAUGCACACAUAACCUUGCAGCCUUUGACUGAUUAACUCACACCGGGCGUUCCAGCAGAGUCAGCAAACUUGCAGGAUGGAGAAGUCAAGACCCGCUUAAUCAUUAUUUUCCAUCCAUGAACACUCAUACUUUUAUCCAUGGAAAAGUUGAUUUUCCGCAUAAGUCAGUGACUAAAUAAGGUAAUGUUUGGUUUGUUGCCACCAUCUAGUAAUAAAUUACAGCAGCCUAAUGCAACUGGGAGCCAGCAAAUUUCAGUAACGAUGUCUCGUUGCUGUGGGCGAUUCUUGCUGCUUCGGUUUUAUCUUUGAACCUCAUCAUUCCGGGCAUGUGCCCCAAACAGAGAUUAUCUGACGUCUCUGCGAGAUCUGGCCUUGGGCAAAGACAAAACAGCUGACAACGUUCACAAGGGCUCGGAGUGAGGCUAAGGUGAGGAAUGUGGACGUAUCAACAUUUUCUCUAAAGAGACACUCGAUCAGAUGACUCCCAGGCGAGAGCUCAUUAUAUAACAGUCCUAGGAAAACAUGGCUGGCAUUUGCAGCUUUGUUUUCGCAUACGUAAUACAGAACAGGUUCCAGGUGGGGGUUGGGUGUGAUCGCAAGUCUGGAAUUUAUUCUCUUCUGUGAAUAACAAAAGAAAACAGUCACCACACCCGAGGGAGGGAUUCGCAUAAGACAACACAGUUAAGUCGGCUAAAACCGUGAAUUUAGCGUCUCCAAACAACCAGACUUCCUUGUUUAUCACACAUCACCUACGUGGCGCCCGCUCGUAAACGACCAGCUGCACAGCCGCGUCGGCCCACGCGUUUCUUCACACUAGCCAAAGCUAGCCGUUGGCUAGGUUAGCACAAACCGGUUCACCUGCCUAGCAUGGCCGGCUAACGCCAAGCGAGCGACUUACCCCCUGCACAGCCCGCAGCGAAGUCUAGUGCCAUUCCCUUCUAAAUGUGGACUGGCCGAGUUAAGUCAGUGACUGGGCAAACUGGUUUGCAAGUGUGGAACUCUUUUCGCCUCCAGACGAUGCUGAUGCUAAUGCUAGGCGAGCGCAAGGAAGCGUGCGCGUUUUCUCGUCGCUGCUGGCGCAGUCUCACUACUAUGAACCCCUUCUACCAACGCUUUCUAUUUCUGCACGGCGGCGGGGGUUCUGUGUAGGCAAGGAACGUGUUCGCCCCGUAUAAAGAAGCCCAAUCGGGUUCCGCCGUGGUGGACAACUCCCCUCGCUGCUCAUGUCCGCCCCCAAACCGAUUGGCUGCCGCCGCUGCGCACGCGAGCGCCGAGCGCGCGCCAGUGGCUUCUCCCCGCUUCCUAAACCAACACUGUUAUCGCAGCCGGUGACCAGCGGGUUGGCGCGUCCCGCUGCGCUCCUGCAGCCGGUGAAUGACGGCGCUUCUGCACGAGGAGGCAAAGUAGUGCGACUCCCACAAAACACGUGGCGUCAGGUGCGUAAACACAGUGACUCAUCAGAAACGGGGAAAUGUGGGUCUUCCACGCGAACCCGCGUCCUUGACCGUAACUGGCUGUAGUUCAGUCUAUGAUGUGAUUUGCACAACACCAGUUCAGCGUCCCCUAACAAAUGUAAACUUAAAAAAAAAUCGGUAUGUUUUUAUCAAAAGUGCAACUGUUGUCACAGGAAUGUAAUGUCUUUUCAGGGACAUAUACUGAAUAAUUAAUGUUGGAAUAUUCAAGUAUCCCAGUAAUGACAGUGGGUCAACAUGCACAGUGGUAAAAAGCUUCAGUAAAUGCAGGGACAUUUUAUCAUUGACAUGAAUAAAUCCCUAUUCACACCAUACAGGUGCUUUUGAUAAGCCAUUGUUUUGUUACUGUUAAUGUUUAUUUGUCCAUUUAAAUGAUUAGCAUACAUACGUAUGUGUAUUGCUGACAAGCAAGCAGAUGUAGCAGCAUUUUGAUUCAGUAAUCAUUCUCUCCUGGGCUGAAUUUCAGGCCAAGGAGUGGAGCUGUGACAGAACAGGGCUGCGAGCACAAACAUUUCAUACAGUAGAAGAUGUACAGCAAAUCGUAAAAAGUAACAUGAAGGCAUGAAGGCGUGGCCCAUGUUUGACAGACGAAAAUCAUGGCUCUUGUAAUUUACACCAUUUUUUUUCUGAGUGAGGCAAUGCCCAACACCUGGGUCAAAAUAACACAUACAUAAUAGAUGGAUUAAUCCUGUACUGUAAUCAACAACAUUUGCUCGAGCAGUCUAGGAUUUAAAAUUUAGAGGCCUCGGUGUCAUGAACAGUUUGACCAUCUCAUCUGUGACUUCCUUGCGUCUCUCUUGAUGCUCAGCAAUCAUUGGCUGCAGCGUCUCGAUCAAAAUCUUUUUCAGGUCUCCGGUUAGUAGAGCUCCACUAGCGUAGUCCUGCAGAGACGGGGCGGAGAUUAACAGAAUUCAAUUUAAAAAAGGAAAGACAAAGAAAAUACGAAAAAAAAAAUAAUCACUCAUCUAAAAUAAAGAAUCUCUAUCCCCUUACUGUACCUGUCUGAUCUUUUCCAGUUGAUCAUCAUCUUCCAGGAAAAAGGUCAAAUACAUGAAGGAGACGUCCACAUCUGGGUUACCUCCGUACUUCUUGUGCUCCUCCACUGUGUCUUUUCCUCCCGAAAAUGCAUGUUUGUUGACCUGUGAGUAAUUAGAAUGUCAUUCAACAAAACCUAGAUCUGACUGGUGACUAUUAACCAGCAGUAACUAGCAAGGUCAGUACCUUGCUUUUGAUCUGCUUGGGUGUGUCAGUGAGGAAGAUGGAGGAGUUGGCGUCACUGGCGCUCAUCUUGGUCUGUGCCCCCUGCAGAGCAGGAAAGAAGGUGGAGUGCAGCAGGGCUGGUUUGGGAUAGUUGAUCCUUGGAGCUACAUCACGGGUCAUCCUGAAGUAAGGAUCCUGAAUAAGUGAAGGAAUAGAAACUCAUGUAUGAUUCUUAAAGUGCCAUCCAGUAUUGUAUUACUUAUGCAUAUACUUAUGUUUUAAUGCUGCCCUGACCUGGUCUAUGGCACAGGGGAUGAGGCAGGGUACGUCUGUUCUGCCUCCAAAGAUCUGUGGAAAAGAGGUACUGAAGGAUGGGGCUGCCUGGAUGGCUGGAAAACUGAUCUUUCCUAGACAGACAAAGGUACAAACAAUGUUUUCCAUACAUUCAUACAAUCAGAAUCAGAGAAUAUGCUAUAACAUUACUAAUGUGUAUUACCAGUGACUGACUUACAUAUACCAAAUAUUUACAUAAAUCUAUCUCUAAAAUAAUAAAAAGUCUUAUGAUGUCUUACCAAUGCAGUCACUGUCUGUAAAGCCAAAGAUUCCUUUAACCUGGUUAAACGUAACGUGCUUCUGGAUCUUAACCACAUUCCUGUAAAAUUCAGGCGAUGAACUGUGGGAAAGAACAGACAAUAACUUGUUAAAAACGAUUACUACAAUAACAAACUAAAUAGACAUUCAAUCUAUAUUAACAAAAAGAUAAACAGUUUCUGUCACGGUUUACCCCAUGUAGUCAAGGUCAGAGAAGAUGAAGGUCUUGUUGACAUCAAAGCCGCAGGCAAUGAUGUCCUUUGCGUUUUCCACAGCAAAGUGGUGGCAUUCAUCCAGUGUUAGAUCCUUCCACAGAUACUUCUCGUCGUCAGUCAUCUGGAUCACCAGGGGAAUGUCAAACACAUCCUGAAGCCAUCUAUAAAAAAGAAAAGACUAGGUUAUUAAAAUCAAUAAAAAAAUCCAAUAUAUAAAAAAGUUUUACCAGCAAAGAACUGCGAUCAUAACUUGGAAAGGGAGCACUCACUUGGUAAAGAUAAAGGGGAUUAGGUGACCAAGGUGCAUGGCCUCUGAGGAUGGACCUCUGCCAGUGUAGAGGUAAAAGGACUUGUUCUUCUCGUAUGCAUCCAACACCUGAUGCACAUCUCUGCCGAAAACAGUGAAGAUACAUUUGAAUUGAUUUUUGUGGGAACUGUUGCUUGUAACCUUGCUUGCCUAAAAGUUGCCUAAAAAUAACAGUGAUUCACUGAUGCAUCAUGUCCUUUUGUCCUCCGUUCCAGCCUGUCACCACCAUCUGUUUCAGUAAAACGAAACAGACUGGUGGAAUGUUUGAGUCAUGAAAGGUCAGAUAAAGUUCAGAGUAUGGGGACGCACGUCAGUAAGUUUCAGAAUUACUGGUUGACAGGAUGAUGCAACAGAAUCUGUAAGACCACCUCUUUCUCGAGAAGUGAGUUUACAGGAAAUCUGAUGAAACCCUCAUGCUUCUCAUUCGCCAACCUGUGUGAGAAGAAGAUUCCUCUUCUCAAAAAGCGGUGAGGCUUCUGUCCCGAGACUUUUUCCAUUCUGUCCACCAACUCCUUGUCAAUUUUACUGCUGCCAAACCUCACUUGGGAAAGAGGAGACAAAAUGUGAAAUUUAGCUGAUGCAAUACAACUGACAAUUACAUUACAAUGUCAGUGGCUAAUAUGGUUCAUCAUCCAACACUACUACUAUAAGAUGUGAGACUUUGAUUCCUACCUAUGAGUUUGUCAUAGUCUACCCCCUUGGCAUUAGUGGUGGAUACGUUCCAUGGGUCGACAGUAUCUUCGUCAUCUCCACCAUCAGAUGCUGGACCAUUGUCAGGGGCAACAGAGGUUUCGGAGGGUGGGCACCCUGCUUUGUAAUCCUGCCCUGUCAUCUGUUUGUAGUCCAUCUUCAACUUCAGCAGCAACUGGAUAGCAGCUUCAAUUUCAGC